AAAUCGAGAUGGGAUGGAAGAAUAUCGGAUAUGUCCAUGAUAGAUGAGGAGUUUAGGAGCAUCUCCCGGUUUCUUGAGAUUGAAGUCAGUGUGAGCGCCAUUGCCACUGAAUCUAGAUGGGAUGUUUGAGUGGCGUUCGCGUAUGAGAUAAAUGAGGAGUUUGGGAGCGUGUCCAGGUUUGUGCUGGUACCAGAACACACAGUUCCUCCAGAGACUACAGUCAGCAACAGAUGUCAGAGGUGACUGAGGGCUGAAGAAAGUGAGCAGAAUGGGUUAUUCAGCUGCAAUAAAGUUCCUCAAGUAAUGCUGGGAGACAGGAGAGCUGUAUGUCUGCAGAGUAACACAUGCCAAGAUCCCAUACGCCAGGCAAUCCUGAUGCUUCCCAGUAGGUCCUGCUCUCUCCUGGGAAUGAAGCCAUAUCUGAGUCCCCUAUGACAGGUUUUCCCGCAGUCAGUCAACAAUCUACACCUUCUCACAGAGCUUCAACACAUUAAAGACCAGACCUGAAUUCCCCGGUUCAAGGCUGUUUCUGGCUAUUUUAAUGCCAUAUAGGUGGACUGUUUCCCUUGUUGGCAUCUCCUUAACAGGCAACCAUCUAGUUUGGCUAGAAACGGCCCUGUCUGGGGUGAAAAUCUUCAUUAAAAUCUGCACAAUCUGCUACAGCCUGUACUUCUUGCAUUGGCAUUUCGCUUGACAUCCAAAACUUACAGAACUGCAGCUCUGAGCAGUUAAUGCUGAAUACCAAAUCGCCUCUUUGUCUCCGUAGCUGUGCUUUAGACAUUAAAAAAGUGAGGAAUAUCGAUUACGCUGUCGCUCAUGUGAAGGGGGACAGGUCCUUUCCUGACUAAUUUGUAGGAAAAUGCACCUUGUGGCUCCUCCCUUGACACAGUGUUUAUUCAGCAGAAAUAAUUGGUAAUAGCUGAAAGAUAACGUGAGCAGAAUGGUCAUAUUUCUGCCUGUGCCGGUAACGUCUCAUGCAUUUUUAUGCAGUACAGCAGCAGUAUUAGAACCGAUAAUGUUCAGUAAUUAAAGCUGCAUGAAUGGGUGAAAUGGAGCCUGUACUGAAACGCAUUGCUUAUUUUGUAUAGUGCAGUGGUGCUUAUUUCAGUUGGCGGACCAUAAAAAAAAAAAGUGACCACCGAACA
This is a long non-coding RNA of Sinocyclocheilus grahami, 1145 nucleotides long. RefSeq lists it as uncharacterized. Lineage: Eukaryota; Metazoa; Chordata; Actinopteri; Cypriniformes; Cyprinidae. The transcript has 4 exons. The record is from RefSeq and is a predicted model, not a curated record.